UGUUAAAAAUUUCAUCAAUUUGUAUGGUUAAAAACUGAGUGGCUGAUGAAAUAAUCAAACGGUGAUUCGAGAUGUGCUAUAUGUACCUCAUGCUGAUGUACAUAAAUCAAUUUUUAACAGUAAAAAUGGACGAAAUUUGAUG
MicroRNA precursor from Gossypium arboreum, 142 nucleotides. It matches the Rfam family "MIR7502 microRNA precursor family". The record is from Rfam. NCBI's taxonomy places the organism in Eukaryota, Viridiplantae, Streptophyta, Magnoliopsida, Malvales, Malvaceae.